Molecule: long non-coding RNA, 492 nt
Organism: Ruditapes philippinarum (Manila clam)
Lineage: Eukaryota; Metazoa; Mollusca; Bivalvia; Venerida; Veneridae
Exons: 3
Source: RefSeq, a predicted model, not a curated record
AAGUGUUAAUCAUGUAAGAAUAAAACACAUCAUUUCUUCUUUUUUCCAGACAAAUGUUAUGUUAUGAUAGGAGAGUCCCAUUAGAUGAAAUGUGUAGCAGAAUUCAAUCCCUUACUGGUGAUGAUGUGAGACAGAUUUGUUACAAAUAUAUCUAUGAUAAAUGUCCAGUAGUUGCAGCUAUAGGACCAAUUGGUGGAUUGAUGGAUUACAACAGGUUACGAGCAUCUAUGUACUGGUUAAGAAAAUAAACAAUUAUUUAUUACAAUUAAGACUGUUACUGUAGGUGUAAAACCUAUGACUUUAUAUACAUGAUCACACCAUGCCAGAUAUGAUGACAGCCUAGGAAAUGUUACGCUCUUAUAUCAAGAUUGGACACCACAAAUUGGAAUUAUUUAAUUGUGAUAGAUUGAGUAUUUUUUAUGUGUAUUUGUUUUUCGUUUUUGCGUUGGCAUGGUAGAUUUUUAAAUAUUAAAAAUUGCCAGAAAACUGAAA